This is a long non-coding RNA of Symphalangus syndactylus (siamang), 1824 nucleotides long. RefSeq lists it as uncharacterized. The record is from RefSeq and is a predicted model, not a curated record. NCBI's taxonomy places the organism in Eukaryota, Metazoa, Chordata, Mammalia, Primates, Hylobatidae.
GCUGGGAAGGCCUGACAGGCCACUUUCCACCCCCAUCCUCGGGGCCCUGCAUGGCCAGUGCCGGCUGUGGCUGACCGUCUCCUUUGCUUCUGCCGAGGGUGACUCUGGGCAGUUUUCCCCAGGACUCCCCGUGGCUGAAGGCGCCCUUGGUGGUGCCCCCCUGCCUGGCCCCCUCUGCUUCCCUGUUCUGCUUCUCCCACACUCUGACCAGUCUCCUGGGGUCACUUCCUGAAUACGUCCUUGCACACAACUCCUGGCUUCAGAAUCUACGGCUCCAUUUUACAGAUGAGGAAACUGAGGCUCACAGUGAUGAAGUCGGCAGUGCAAGGUCACUUGGCCGUGGAAAGCCAUGCUGGGAGGCAAGCUCGAGUCUGGGAGCCCCGGAAUUUUAUUUCACGCAGUAUUCCCCGUGCUUGUUCUGGGAGUGUUAAUUCAUGUUCCCUCAAAAUAAGAGUUUCGUGUUCAGGUCUGAUGCCAACCGGCAGUCCUGCCAGCAGUGACCUGCAAUUCCACUGGAUGUGGCAGGCAGGAUCUGUUUCCCUGGCCAUUUUUUGGAGAAGGUCCAGCUGAGAGGCUCAGACAGCCAUAAUGGAUGGGAUCUUUUUAGAGAAUGCCAUGGUUUCAACCCAAGAAGACAGCAGGGCCAUCAGCAGAAGUGAGACAAGGAGCUGGCUGGAAAGUGAAGAUCACGGGCAGAAGGCAGAGGCGUGGCAGGUGCCCUGAGUGGCAGAGGACUACGGAGGGCAAGAACCCAUAUGAGAGAUGUGGACUCGGCCAGCAAUGGCGCAGGGCCCUAGAAGGUCCAUAUUCUGCCAUCUGCACACCGGAGGCCCAGGAAGCCGUGGUGUGGGUCAGUCCAAGCCUGAAGGCAGAGAACCAGGAGCGCUGAUGGUAUACGUCCCCACCUGAAGGCAGGAGAAGAUAGAUGUCCCAGCUCAAGCAGUCAGACAGAGAGUGAAGUCUCUGUUGCCCAGUCUUUUGUUCUAUUCAGGCCCAAAUGGAUUGGAUGCGGCCCACCCACACUGCGGAAGCCAUCUGCUUUUCUGAGUCCAUAGAUUCAAAUACUAAUCUCAUCUGAAACACCCUCAUAGAAAUACCCAGACCAUGUUUAGCCAAAUAUCUGGGUACCCUGUGGCCCAGUCAAGGUGACACAUACAAUUACUCAUCAUGAGACUCGUGGGAAAGCUGUGUAAAUCAUGAGACAUCACUUUUGUUGGCCAGAGAGCCAGAAGAGCCACUGGGGAGGGAGGCUGAGGACCCUCAUGUGCCCCAGGAACAUGCAGAAGACCAGGGGGAGGGCAGCCCUCCGCCUGGGAGGAGUCUGAUCACGAAAUCAGGGCAAGGGCCCUCGGCAAUUUGCUCAGAAAUUUGCACUGUGGGCAGGGAGGCAGCCUUGCCAGAAGCCUUUGCCACGGCCACCUGGCCUCAUGGGAAGCCUGUCCAUGUAGCUACUCAUCCCUGAGCUGACCGUGACUGAGCCUGCUCAGUUGUGCUGGGGCCCAAGAGGCUGCUUCGGUGAAAACAGAGAACCAAGCUUUGCACAUCUUUGCUUUGUAACUAGAGGGACUGUGUAUCCUCAGAGAUUUAUGUUUGAAGCCCUUCUCUUGGCGCGUUUUCCUGCUGUGUGGCUGCCGUCUCCUCAGCUAAUUCUCCCAAACCCUCCUCAUCUCUCUUGCCGGCUUCUCCGUGCUCCUCUCUUGCUUGGGAGCGGACGAGUGAGCUUUGAUAUCCACUCUCACAGCUGGGAUUCAGGCCACUUCGCAGACGAGGGGCAAACCUGUCAUGAAGUCCUUAGCUCUGAGCCUUGGAGAGUUUAAGGGUAAG